UGAAAGGGGGGUGGAAUAUGUUCAGGACACUCCAAACAUUAAAUAAAAUGUGUGAAGUAGUUGAGAUCUACGUCCCUGAAUGCUCCACAAUACUUUAAACAUAGGUGAUCAGACAGGCGAAAAUGCAUUAGCUUCAAUGGUAGGGCCAUGUGACAUGUAUCACUCUUUGCUGAAAAAACUAAAGAUUGUGUCUCAAUGAAAGGGGGGUGGAAUAUGUUCAGGACACUCCAAACAUUAAAUAAAAUGUGUGAAGUAGUUGAGAUUUACGUCCCUGAAUGCUCCACAAUACUUUAAACAUAGGUGAUCAGACAGGCGAAAAUGCAUUAUCUUC
Clupea harengus (Atlantic herring) is the source of this 331-nucleotide long non-coding RNA. The record is from Ensembl. Lineage: Eukaryota; Metazoa; Chordata; Actinopteri; Clupeiformes; Clupeidae.